AGCCUACGGGGCGCAGCAGUAGGGAAUCUUCCACAAUGGACGAAAGUCUGAUGGAGCAACGCUGCGCGAGUGAAGAAGGGUUUCGGCUCGUAAAGCUCUGUUGGUAGCGAAGAAAGAUAGAGGGAGUAACUGGCCUUUAUUUGACGGUAAUUACUUAGAAAGUCACGGCUAACUACGUGCCAGCAGCCGCGGGAAUACGUAGGUGGCAAGCGGUGUCCGGAUUUAUUGGGCGUAAAGCGAGUGCAGGCGGGUCAAUAAAG
RNAcentral lists this ribosomal RNA (260 nucleotides) under uncultured bacterium. Its description in RNAcentral is "partial 16S ribosomal RNA". It matches the Rfam family "Bacterial small subunit ribosomal RNA", at positions 335 to 588 of the family's 1533-position model. The record is from RNAcentral.